RNAcentral lists this non-coding RNA (815 nucleotides) under Hydraena gracilis. The record is from RNAcentral. Lineage: Eukaryota; Metazoa; Arthropoda; Insecta; Coleoptera; Hydraenidae.
GGGGAGUAUGCUUUUUUUUUAGUUGUUUAUUAAAAUAUUAUUGUAUAUAAAGUUUUAUUUUAACUUAAAAUAUAGAAGAAUAAAUUUAUUUAAUAUAUAAAUAUUUGUAUAAAUAAUUAAUAUUUAAAAAAUUAUAUUAAUUAGUAGUUAAUAAGAUUUUAUAUUAAAGAAAUUUAGAUAAAGAAUUUUAUUUUAGUAUUAACAAAAUUUAUGCCAGCAGUAGCGGUUAUAUAAAUAAUACAAUUUAUAAGUAUAAAUUUUAAUUAUAAAAUAUUAUUUUAAAUUAAAUUUAAAUUUAUUAAGUGGAAUUUUAAAUUUAUAAGAUUUUAUUAAAAAUUUUUUGAAGUUAAUAAAUUUUAUUAUAGACUAGGAUUAGAUACCCUAUUAUUAAAAUGUAAAGUAUAAAGUUAGAUUAUUAAUAGUUAUGUUCUUGAAAAUUAAAAAAUUUGGCGGUAUUUUAGUCUAUUCAGAGGAACCUGUCCUAUAAUUGAUAGUCCACGAUUUGUUUAACUUAUUUUUAGUUUAUAUAUCGUCGUAGUUGAAUGUUUUAAAAGAAAUUAAAUGUUCAUAAUUUAGUAUAUUAAAGUACAUCAGAUCAAGGUAUAGCAUAUAAAUAAGAAGAGAUGGGUUACAAUAAAAAAAUUUAAAUGGUAAAUAUUUUUUAAUAAAUAUUUUAAAGUGGAUUUGAAAGUAAUAUUAUUAAAAUAAAUUAUAUGAUUUUAGCUCUAAAAUAUGUACAUAUCGCCCGUCACUCUCAUAUAAAAUGAGAUAAGUCGUAACAAAGUAGGUGUACUGGAAAGUGUAUCUAGUUAGAC